Long non-coding RNA from Acipenser ruthenus (sterlet), 691 nucleotides. RefSeq lists it as uncharacterized. The transcript is spliced from 4 exons. The record is from RefSeq and is a predicted model, not a curated record. Lineage: Eukaryota; Metazoa; Chordata; Actinopteri; Acipenseriformes; Acipenseridae.
ACAAAGGAAACACGCCUUCUAAGGGCAAAAGCUGCCUGUUUCCACGCCCUCGCAUUCAAACUGAAAACUGCGCGCCAAGGUUUUGCAGCAGAACAGAUUUGGAAUGAAAAAGAGAAAUGCCUCCCAGAAAGCGUAGGAAGUGUACUUCGGUCACUGUGAAAAAUCAUGCUGAAAAAGCUCAUGCUACAUCAGCAACCCCUGCUGCUUGUUGAGAAAGCGACACUGCUUCUCCACUGCCGCAGGCAUGCCCUCCUUCCUCCAGCACAGUCGCUGUGUCACUUCAGCAUCCACCUGUAUCACUGGCUUUGCCUCGCCCAGCUGUAAUACCCGAAAGCAUGGAGACACCACAAGUAUUUGCUGAAGUUGAGAGCCUUCUCCCUCUUUCUUUCAACAAGAGAAAGAAAAGGAGAAGCCUGCGGUUUAGGGGUGGGCAUCGGCAAGCUGGCAGUGAGGAUGAUUCCUUUUGACAGGAUCGCAGUUUUGGAGGGCUCGAUCACAACCAAAGAUGUUGCCAUUGGAAAGCUAGUUUUACACUAGUGAUGAAAAAUGCAGGUGUAAUGUAACCAAAACGUUAAAUUACAUCAAAUCUGUAACAAAAAAUACACUAUGAAUAUGAAAUAUAGAAAGUAAAAUCAGACCAAAAUAUUUCCCAUGUACAAAACAAAGUUAGAAAGAGUGGUCAACCACAGAA